CCUACGGGAGGCAGCAGUAGGGAAUCUUCCACAAUGGGCGAAAGCCUGAUGGAGCAACGCCGCGUGAGUGAUGAAGGCCUUCGGGUUGUAAAACUCUGUCAUUCGGGACGAACCGGAGUCUGAGGAAAUGCAGACUCUCUGACGGUACCGGAGGAGGAAGCCCCGGCUAACUACGUGCCAGCAGCCGCGGUAAUACGUAGGGGGCAAGCGUUGUCCGGAUUCACUGGGCGUAAAGCGCGCGCAGGCGGUGAUGUAAGUCUGAGGUGAAAACCCGAAGCUCAACUUCGGGACUGCCUUGGAUACUGCGUCACUUGAGGAUAGGAGAGGCAAGGGGAAUUCCACGUGUAGCGGUGAAAUGCGUAGAGAUGUGGAGGAACACCUGUGGCGAAGGCGCCUUGCUGGCCUAUUUCUGACGCUGAGGCGCGAAAGCGUGGGGAGCAAACAGGAUUAGAUACCCUGGUAGUCCACGCUGUAAACGAUGAGUGCUAGGUGUAGGUGGGCUCAUACCCAUCUGUGCCGAAGCUAACGCAUUAAGCACUCCGCCUUGGGGAGUUACGGUUCGCAGCUUGAACUUCAAGGAUUGACGG
This 587-nucleotide ribosomal RNA is filed under the name uncultured bacterium. RNAcentral's name for it is "bacterial SSU rRNA". It matches the Rfam family "Bacterial small subunit ribosomal RNA", at positions 338 to 916 of the family's 1533-position model. The record is from RNAcentral.